Molecule: ribosomal RNA, 1081 nt
Filed under: Teratosphaeria verrucosa
Lineage: Eukaryota; Fungi; Ascomycota; Dothideomycetes; Mycosphaerellales; Teratosphaeriaceae
Description: SSU rRNA
Rfam family: Eukaryotic small subunit ribosomal RNA
Source: RNAcentral
UUAGCCAUGCAAGUCUAAGUAUAAGCAAUUGUACGGUGAAACUGCGAACGGCUCAUUAAAUCAGUUAUCGUUUAUUUGAUAGUACCUUACUACAUGGAUAACCGUGGUAAUUCUAGAGCUAAUACAUGCUAAAAACCCCGACUUCGGAAGGGGUGUAUUUAUUAGAUAAAAAACCAAUGCCCUCCGGGGCCCCUUGGUGAAUCAUAAUAACUCAGCGGAUCGCAUGGCCUUGCGCCGGCGAUGGUUCAUUCAAAUUUCUGCCCUAUCAACUUUCGAUGGUAGGAUAGUGGCCUACCAUGGUAUCAACGGGUAACGGGGGAUUAGGGUUCGGUUCCGGAGAGGGAGCCUGAGAAACGGCUACCACAUCCAAGGAAGGCAGCAGGCGCGCAAAUUACCCAAUCCCGACACGGGGAGGUAGUGACAAUAAAUACUGAUACAGGGCUCUUUUGGGUCUUGUAAUUGGAAUGAGUACAAUUUAAAUCCCUUAGCGAGGAACAAUUAGAGGGCAAGUCUGGUGCCAGCAGCCGCGGUAAUUCCAGCUCUAAUAGCGUAUAUUAAAUUUGUUGCAGUUAAAAAGCUCGUAGUUGGACCUUGGGCCUGGCUGGCCGGUCCGCCUCACCGCGUGUACUGGUCCGGCCGGGCCUUUCCUUCUGGGGAACCGCAUGCCCUUCGCUGGGCGUGCCGGGGAACCAGGACUUUUACUUUGAAAAAAUUAGAGUGUUCAAAGCAGGCCUUUGCUCGAAUACAUUAGCAUGGAAUAAUAGAAUAGGACGUGCGGACCUAUUUUGUUGGUUUCUAGGACCGCCGUAAUGAUUAAUAGGGAUAGUCGGGGGCAUCCGUAUUCAAUUGUCAGAGGUGAAAUUCUUGGAUUUAUUGAAGACGAACUACUGCGAAAGCAUUUGCCAAGGAUGUUUUCAUUAAUCAGUGAACGAAAGUUAGGGGAUCGAAGACGAUCAGAUACCGUCGUAGUCUUAACCAUAAACUAUGCCGACUAGGGAUCGGCGGGUGUUUCUAUUUUGACCCCGUCGGCACCUUACGAGAAAUCAAAGUUUUUGGGUUCUGGGGGGAGUAUGGUCGCAAG